RNAcentral lists this ribosomal RNA (568 nucleotides) under Scaphiopus holbrookii (eastern spadefoot toad). RNAcentral describes it as "partial 16S ribosomal RNA". It matches the Rfam family "Bacterial large subunit ribosomal RNA", at positions 1816 to 2597 of the family's 2925-position model. The record is from RNAcentral. Lineage: Eukaryota; Metazoa; Chordata; Amphibia; Anura; Pelobatidae. RNAcentral also lists the same sequence under 1 other name.
CGCCUUCUUGCUCAAUAUGUAUAAGAGGUCCCGCCUGCCCAGUGACACCAUGUUCAACGGCCGCGGUAUUUUGACCGUGCGAAGGUAGCGUAAUCACUUGUCUUUUAAAUGAAGACUGGUAUGAACGGCAUCACGAAGACCUUACUGUCUCCUAUAUCCAAUCAGUGAAACUGAUCUCCCCGUGAAGAAGCGGGGAUUUCAACAUAAGACGAGAAGACCCCAUGGAGCUUUAAACUUAAAUCACUUGCUUCAAUUAUAAACCCACGGAACAAGCACUUAACUAAGCAAUGAUGAUCUAUGUUUUCGGUUGGGGCGACCACGGAGAAUAAUAAAUCCUCCUCGAUGAAUGAAUUAAUCUUAACCAAGAGCCACAGCUCUAAGUAUUAGAAUAUCUAACAUACAUUGAUCCAAUCCUAUUGAUCAACGAACCAAGUUACCCUGGGGAUAACAGCGCAAUCCAUUUCAAGAGUCCAUAUCGACAAAUGGGUUUACGACCUCGAUGUUGGAUCAGGGCAUCCCAGUGGUGCAGCCGCUACUAAAGGUUCGUUUGUUCCACGAUUAAAGCCCU